RNAcentral lists this ribosomal RNA (531 nucleotides) under Amolops aniqiaoensis (Aniqiao torrent frog). RNAcentral's name for it is "partial large subunit ribosomal RNA". It matches the Rfam family "Bacterial large subunit ribosomal RNA", at positions 1816 to 2571 of the family's 2925-position model. The record is from RNAcentral. Lineage: Eukaryota; Metazoa; Chordata; Amphibia; Anura; Ranidae.
CAUCGCCUCUUGAUUAAAUAUAAGAGGUCCAGCCUGCCCAGUGACAUAGUUUAACGGCCGCGGUACCCUAACCGUGCGAAGGUAGCAUAAUCACUUGUUCCUUAAAUAGGGACUCGUAUCAACGGCAUCACGAGGGCUGUACUGUCUCCUUUCUCCAAUCAGUGAAACUGAUCUCCCCGUGAAGAAGCGGGGAUAAGCCUAUAAGACGAGAAGACCCCAUGGAGCUUUAAACCCAUCACGCACCUCUACGCACUAAAAACAAUAAAGCCUAAGAGGCUUGUGUGCUGGUUUUAGGUUGGGGUGACCAAGGAGUAAAAUCAAACCUCCACGACAGACGGACUAAUAUCCUUAUCCACGAACCACAAUUCUAAGAGCCAAUAAAUUGUUGUCUAAUGACCCAAUUACUUGAUCAACGAACCAAGUUACCCUGGGGAUAACAGCGCAAUCUACUUCAAGAGCCCCUAUCGACAAGUAGGUUUACGACCUCGAUGUUGGAUCAGGGUGUCCUAGUGGUGCAACCGCUGCUAAAGG